CCUGACAGCUCAGUUGGUAGAGAAUCCGCCUGCAAUGCGGGAGACCUGGGUUCGAUCCCUGGGUUGGGA
Molecule: non-coding RNA, 69 nt
Organism: Bos taurus (domestic cattle)
Lineage: Eukaryota; Metazoa; Chordata; Mammalia; Artiodactyla; Bovidae
Source: Rfam